AGAGUUUGAUCAUGGCUCAGAACGUACGCUGGCGGCACGCCUAACACAUGCAAGUCGAACGAAGUAGCAAUACUUAGUGGCAGACGGGUGAGUAACAUGUAGGUAUCUGCCCUUUGGCCUGGAAUAACACGAGGAAACUUGUGCUAAUACCGGAUAAGUCUUUACGGAGAAAGCUUUAUGCACCAUUGGAUGAGCCUGCACUUGAUUAGUUUGUUGGUGGGGUAAUGGCCUACCAAGACUGUGAUCAAUAGCUGAUUUGAGAGGAUGAUCAGCCACAUUGGGACUGAGACACGGCCCAAACUCCUACGGGAGGCAGCAGUGGGGAAUCUUGCACAAUGGAGGAAACUCUGAUGCAGCGAUGCCGCGUGAGUGAAGAAGGCCUUUGGGUUGUAAAGCUCUUUCGUCGGGGAAGAAAAUGACUGUACCCGAAUAAGAAGGUCCGGCUAACUUCGUGCCAGCAGCCGCGGUAAUACGAAGGGACCUAGCGUAGUUCGGAAUUACUGGGCUUAAAGAGUUCGUAGGUGGUUGAAAAAGUUAGUGGUGAAAUCCCAGAGCUUAACUCUGGAACUGCCAUUAAAACUUUUCAGCUAGAGUAUGAUAGAGGAAAGCAGAAUUUCUAGUGUAGAGGUGAAAUUCGUAGAUAUUAGAAAGAAUACCAAUUGCGAAGGCAGCUUUCUGGAUCAUUACUGACACUGAGGAACGAAAGCAUGGGUAGCGAAGAGGAUUAGAUACCCUCGUAGUCCAUGCCGUAAACGAUGUGUGUUAGACGUUGGAAAUUUAUUUUCAGUGUCGCAGGGAAACCGAUAAACACACCGCCUGGGGAGUACGACCGCAAGGUUAAAACUCAAAUGAAUUGACGGGGACCCGCACAAGUAGUGGAGCAUGUGGUUUAAUUCGAAGAUACGCGCAGAACCUUACCAACACUUGACAUGUUCGUCGCGACUCUAAGAGAUUAGAGUUUUCGGUUCGGCCGGACGAAACACAGGUGCUGCAUGGCUGUCGUCAGCUCGUGUCGUGAGAUGUUGGGUUAAGUCCCGCAACGAGCGCAACCCUCACUUUUAGUUGCCAUCAUUAAGUUGGGCACUCUGAAAGAACUGCCAGUGAUAAGCUGGAGGAAGGUGGGGAUGACGUCAAGUCCUCAUGGCCCUUACGUGUUGGGCUACACACGUGCUACAAUGGUAUCUACAACAGGAAGCAAGACUGCGAAGUUAAGCAAAUCCCUAAAAGAUACCUCAGUUCGGAUUGCACUCUGCAACUCGAGUGCAUGAAGCUGGAAUUACUAGUAAUCGUGGAUCAGCGUGCCACGGUGAAUGCGUUCCCGGGUCUUGUACACACCGCCCGUCACACCAUGGGAGUUGGUUCUACCUUAAGGCAAGGUUUCAAACCCUUGACCACGGUAUAGUCAGCGACUGGGGUGAAGUCGUAACAAGGUAGCCGUA
Molecule: ribosomal RNA, 1439 nt
Filed under: uncultured bacterium
Lineage: Bacteria
Description: bacterial SSU rRNA
Rfam family: Bacterial small subunit ribosomal RNA
Source: RNAcentral